Molecule: non-coding RNA, 910 nt
Organism: Leptonychotes weddellii (Weddell seal)
Lineage: Eukaryota; Metazoa; Chordata; Mammalia; Carnivora; Phocidae
Source: RefSeq, a predicted model, not a curated record
GGCCGCCGCCGGCCCUUCGCGCUCUCCUCCGGGCGCGGUGCCCGCCCCGCCUGCCUCCGAGGCUCUGCGCCCCGCAGCCUCGGCUCCCCCCAGAGAAGCGUGGCGGGAGUGGAGUGCUAGGAGGCUGGGGCUUGUGGGUUCCUCCGUCCCCUCCCCUGCGCGGUGAAGGCACGCGGCCGUGGGGUCCAGGACGAGCAUCUGCAGAGGAGCGGGAUCUGGAAGGCUCGGACCAGCUCUGAAAGCCCCAGGACCUAAAGAAAAGUUAACACUCACCAUGAUGACACAGCUACUAGAACGUGUGCGUUUGAAAACAACAACGAGCACAGAAAAAUGAUUAGAGGAAUUCAACCUGCGUUUUGGCAGCAACCAAACAAUGACUACAUCUCCGUUUUUGAGAGUUAUGUGUACGGAGCAGCCAAAAUACAGUUCUCCGUUGGAACCUGCUUUUCAUUAGCUGUGGAGCUUUAUUGCUUUCUGAUUUGGUUGAAUUAGAUUCGGUUGAACAAAUACGUGUUUGGACACCAACUGGACAAAUGCAGAAUGAGGGGCUGUGGGAAAACUGAGCGGAUCAGAUGUGUCUGCUGCCCUCAAAGCUGUUCCAAUCCAGUAGGAUGAUGAGACAAGAAGCUGCCUGAUAACCGGAAGAAGAGGGGAGAGGCACGAGAAGACCCAAUCUUAGGGUGCCAGGGGGAAGUUCAGAGGAGACAGGGGGCAUAGUUGACAGGGAAGCAGAAAAAGCAUUAUGAGAAAGGUGGCAUCUCAGUGGACAAGCGUUUGUGAGCAAUUUGGGAGCAGCAACUGUGUGAUCAGCCUAGCGUCCCUAGUAACUGCCACACAGUAAGUGCUCAGUCAGUGUCUGAAGAAUUAAUUAAAUCUUGGGGCGCCUGGGUGGCUCAGAUGGUUAAGCGUC